This 917-nucleotide ribosomal RNA is filed under the name uncultured archaeon. Its description in RNAcentral is "bacterial SSU rRNA". It matches the Rfam family "Archaeal small subunit ribosomal RNA", at positions 1 to 924 of the family's 1478-position model. The record is from RNAcentral.
UUCCGGUUGAUCCUGCCGGAGGCCACUGCUAUUGGGAUCCGACUAAGCCAUGCGAGUCGAGAGGGUUCGGCCCUCGGCAGACUGCUCAGUAACACGUGGAUAACCUAACCUUAGGUGGAAGAUAACCUCGGGAAACUGAGAAUAAUAUUCCAUAGAUCUAGGAUGCUGGAAUGCAUCUAGAUUGAAAGUUCCGACGCCUAAGGAUGGGUCUGCGGACUAUCAGGUUGUAGUCAGGGUAAAGACCUGACUAGCCUACGACGGAUAUGGGUUGUGAGAGCAAUAGCCCAGAGACGAUAUCUGAGACACGAUAUCGGGCCCUACGGGGCGCAGCAGGCGCGAAAUCUUCACAAUGUGCGAAAGCACGAUGAGGGGACCCCAAGUGCUGGCACGUAAGUGUCAGCUGUUUCUUAGUCUAAAAAACUGAGAGAGUAAGGGCUGGGUAAGACGGGUGCCAGCCGCCGCGGUAAUACCUGCAGCUCAAGUGGUGGCCGCUAUUAUUGGGCCUAAAACGUCCGUAGCCUGUUUAGUAAAUGCUUGGGUAAAUUGUGUAGCUUAACUAUACGAAUACCGGGUAGACUGCUAAACUUGGGACCGGGAGAGGCUAGAGGUACUCCUGGGGUAGAGGUGAAAUUCUGUAAUCCUAGGGGGACCACCAGUGGCGAAGGCGUCUAGCUAGAACGGGUCUGACGGUGAGGGACGAAGCCCUGGGGCGCAAACCGGAUUAGAUACCCGGGUAGUCCAGGGUGUAAACGCUGCUUGCUUGAUGUUAGUUGGGCUCCGAGCCCAACUAGUGUCGGAGAGAAGUUGUUAAGCAAGCUGCCUGGGAAGUACGGUCGCAAGACUGAAACUUAAAGGAAUUGGCGGGGGAGCACAGCAACGGGUGGAGCGUGCGGUUUAAUUGGAUUCAACGCCCGGAA